RNAcentral lists this long non-coding RNA (808 nucleotides) under Marmota monax (woodchuck). Lineage: Eukaryota; Metazoa; Chordata; Mammalia; Rodentia; Sciuridae. The record is from RNAcentral.
CUGGGUUCCUGUGUCCUUAUGUAUUAGAGACCCAGGAACUAUGGGUGGUAAAUGUCCUUAUUGCUCUUGAGUUGUCUUCUCAUCUUGGCCCUUUUAGUAGACAGAGCUAGGAAAUAUGCAGGCUGUACACACACACAUGCAUAGUCAUGUUCACAGAAACAUGCAUAUACAUAUUUUAGAAAUCAUGAGUUUAUAUCAGUAUUCCCAACUUUAUGUCUAGUGUUUUUUCUUAGGGUUUGUAUUUCAUAUUUUAAAUGUCUUAUGCUGUGAGAAUUCUGGCCUUCAACAUUAUUAAUACAUUUACACAUCAACUCUAUAAUUUAAGAUAAUUUUAGAAUUGCUUUGUUUAUUUUACUACAAUAAACUUUUUGUGGUACACUUUGGGUAGUACAUUCUAGGCAAGAAAUCUAUCACUGAGCUACACCCUAGUCCUAAUAAACUCAUUUAAAAUGAGUGGAAGAUUUGUUUGCAAAUCCCUCUACCCUCAAAUUUUGCUCAUGACAAGAGUGAAUCAUUAAAAUUUUGUUCUUAAAUUACUUGGAUUGAGGGCUAUGAGUGUAUCUUAGUGAUUGAGUGCUUGCCUAGUAUGUACAAGUUUCUGGGUCAGUCCCCAGUACCACUUCAAACAAAACACACCCCCAAAACUUGGAUUGACCAUGUAUCCCUCCUUAUCCCUCCUUCUUUUCUUCCAUGUUCUCCUUCCCAUCCUUACUUUCUACAUAAUCUAACUAUGGUCUAUAUAUGAAUUGAAAUUAGGUUAAUUUAUUUGUUGCUUGAGUUUCAAAGUUUUUUGUGCCCUUUUUUAUUU